GACGAACGCUGGCGGCAUGCCUAAUACAUGCAAGUCGAGCGAACAGAUGAAGUGCUUGCACUUCUGACGUUAGCGGCGAACGGGUGAGUAACACGUAAGGAAUCUACCUAUAAGCGGGGGAUAACAUUCGGAAACGGGUGCUAAUACCGCAUAAUAUCUUCUUCCGCAUGGAAGAAGAUUGAAAGACGGCUCUGCUGUCACUUCUAGCUGACCUUGUGGUGCAUUAGUUAGUUGGUGGGGUAACGGCCUACCAAGACGAUGAUGCAUAGCCGACCUGAGAGGGUGAUCGGCCACAUUGGGACUGAGACACGGCCCAAACUCCUACGGGAGGCAGCAGUAGGGAAUCUUCCGCAAUGGGCGAAAGCCUGACGGAGCAAUGCCGCGUGAGUGAAGAAGGCCUUCGGGUCGUAAAACUCUGUUAUAAGAGAAGAACAAAUUGUAGAGUAACUGCUACAGUCUUGACGGUAUCUUAUCAGAAAGCCACGGCUAACUACGUGCCAGCCGCCGCAGUAA
This 513-nucleotide ribosomal RNA is filed under the name uncultured bacterium. Its description in RNAcentral is "partial 16S ribosomal RNA". It matches the Rfam family "Bacterial small subunit ribosomal RNA", at positions 28 to 523 of the family's 1533-position model. The record is from RNAcentral.